GCAGAAAAGUAUUUUAUAACUCUUGUUAAAAACAUAAAUAAAAAAAAGUAUUUCAUAAUUGUGGUAAUACAUGGUAGAGCAUGUCUGUACACAAUGUCUAACAAAUAGUUGUAGCUUUCCAUUUUUCAGAAGUCAAGAAACAAGGCUAGAAACAGAGCCUACUAGAACAGCCUCGAGACCACGCCCACCUGCCAAAGUGCCGAAGGAAGGCUUGAAAACACAGAAACAUACCAUUUUUACUUCAUGAAUAUCUUCUGUAACCAAGAAAAUGGGAGAUAACGCGCUCCUUCCUUGAAUUGCUUUGAGACCAUGCCCACUUCAUUUAUCCAUUGGCACUUCAUCAACCUUAUAGUAGCUCUUUGGACUCCUCAGACAUCAUGGAGCAAAGAUCUGCUGGCUAUUCUUUGAGCGCAUCAGGUGUGAGUGAGAUAGCAGGCCUUUUUGCAGCCAUAAAUGACGUCGAUCGUUUCUUUGUCUGUAACACACCAAAACAACUAGCUACAUGUACCUGCUUCUAACUUGGAAAUAUAGAAAGAGAAGGUUUGACAUAGCCUUCAAUACCUUUACUUUGUGCAGCAGACAAUUUUAGAAAUAGUUUUAAGCAGUAGUAUGCUUCUCGAAGCAUUAAUGCGUUACUGACCAUUUCAAUGACCCACCCCCAGAUGCAUUAAUGCAUUAUUGACCGUGAAAGGGUUAAAGUUAUUUGGGUGAUUGGGUACUGUUGAUUAUUGGGAUUUUCUAGAUUUUUUGUUGAUUGGAGUGGUUCUAUAUGGCAAAAUUGUUGGGCCUCACUCUUGUGUAUAAGAGUGAUUUAUUUUAUGCUGGGCAAGGCAAAAAGCAGUAAAAUUAAGAGCAGUAGUAUAAGCAGAAAGGUAGCGAUAUCAAUAGUUAAGGAGUAACGUUGCUAAUUAACUUUGGUGUUCUUUAUCCAAGGGCUUUUUGUAAAUGAAAGAGCACUAGAGCAGUAUAAAUGUUACAGUUAUGGAAGCGUACAAGAAGUAUAGGUUAUACACCGAGGUCAAGGUUUCUAUGGGAUUUAUUGACCGAGGGAUGCAGUCCCGAGGUCAAUAAAUGCCAUAGAAACCGAGACCGAGGUGUAUAACCGUGUUCUACCAUGCAUCCAAUCAGAUUAGAUGCAUUUCUUGUAGCUAGGAUACACAAAAAGUAUAAAAAUCCUUACCAUUAGCAACCAAUUCAUUUUAAGUCACGCACUAGAAUGGAAAAUCAGCUUGGUAGACAUGCUCGUCUGUUCUCAAAAGAUGCGACUAACACAGCCGCCAUUGAUAGCUCUGGAAACGCCUAUCUCAUCAUUUUAUGACUGCCCCGCCUACUUCAUUAGUGCUAUAUACCAUCUUGUUUCGCAACGGACAAGGAUUUAAAGAUGCACAACAGCACUGUGCGCCAUGCACAACUAAAAAAGCAAUAUAAUGGGUAGAAAAUAUUCUGAAUGACUGGUGCAAGGAAAGAAUGAAAGAUUUGGAGAAGCUCCAACCAGGCCACUCUUCUUAAUGGAGAAAUACUGUUUAAAAUGUUUGCUGCAGCAACUGGGGAAUCGAUGGUUACAAACAAACCACUCACUUCGCGGCGUGGCUGCUGCUACUAGACUAUUUCAAGCUGGUGUUGAUGAACAAUUAAUCAUGAAAAGAACAGGUCACAGAAGCAUGGAUGGUGUACGAAUUUAUAAGCACAUUUCAGAUCAACAAAAUGCCGGAAGACGUUUCCUCAAUAAUAUUAUUAUUACAAACAAAAACAGCAGUAGCUAGUGACGAUAUACCAAUUCACCUCAUCCUCCAAAAGCACAAAACAUAUCUCUAGAUGAAGACAGACACUUCAGCUUUAAUAACUGCACAAACAUACACAUAACAAUUCAAAAAUAACAUUACUAUUAUUGCUGUCAUCAUUUUUAUUCCUAAAAUUUCCCAAACUUUGGCAGAAG
Amphimedon queenslandica is the source of this 1936-nucleotide long non-coding RNA. RefSeq lists it as uncharacterized. The record is from RefSeq and is a predicted model, not a curated record. The transcript is spliced from 3 exons. Lineage: Eukaryota; Metazoa; Porifera; Demospongiae; Haplosclerida; Niphatidae.